Molecule: ribosomal RNA, 496 nt
Filed under: uncultured bacterium
Lineage: Bacteria
Description: partial 16S ribosomal RNA
Rfam family: Bacterial small subunit ribosomal RNA
Source: RNAcentral
GAUGAACGCUGGCGGCGUGCCUAAUACAUGCAAGUCGAGCGAACAGACGAGGAGCUUGCUCCUCUGACGUUAGCGGCGGACGGGUGAGUAACACGUGGAUAACCUACCUAUAAGACUGGGAUAACUUCGGGAAACCGGAGCUAAUACCGGAUAAUAUAUUGAACCGCAUGGUUCAAUAGUGAAAGACGGUUUUGCUGUCACUUAUAGAUGGAUCCGCGCCGCAUUAGCUAGUUGGUAAGGUAACGGCUUACCAAGGCAACGAUGCGUAGCCGACCUGAGAGGGUGAUCGGCCACACUGGAACUGAGACACGGUCCAGACUCCGACGGGAGGCAGCAGGAGGGAAUCUUCCGCAAUGGGCGAAAGCUUGACGGAGCAACGCCGCGUGAGUGAUGAAGGUCUUCGGAUCGUAAAACUCUGUUAUUAGGGAAGAACAAAUGUGUAAGUAACUAUGCACGUCUUGACGGUACCGAAUCAGAAAGCCACGGCUAACUACGU